Molecule: ribosomal RNA, 422 nt
Filed under: Allobosea sp.
Lineage: Bacteria; Pseudomonadati; Pseudomonadota; Alphaproteobacteria; Hyphomicrobiales; Alloboseaceae
Description: bacterial SSU rRNA
Rfam family: Bacterial small subunit ribosomal RNA
Source: RNAcentral
CAAUAUGAGAGUUUGAUCCUGGCUCAGAACGAACGCUGGCGGCAGGCCUAACACAUGCAAGUCGAACGCCCCGCAAGGGGAGUGGCAGACGGGUGAGUAACACGUGGGAACCUACCUUGUGGUACGGAACAACCAAGGGAAACUUUGGCUAAUACCGUAUGAGCCCGAGAGGGGAAAGAUUUAUCGCCAUAAGAUGGGCCCGCGUCGGAUUAGCUAGUUGGUGAGGUAAUGGCUCACCAAGGCGACGAUCCGUAGCUGGUCUGAGAGGAUGACCAGCCACACUGGGACUGAGACACGGCCCAGACUCCUACGGGAGGCAGCAGUGGGGAAUAUUGGACAAUGGGCGCAAGCCUGAUCCAGCCAUGCCGCGUGUGUGAUGAAGGCCUUAGGGUUGUAAAGCACUUUCGCCGAUGAAGAUAAUG